Molecule: long non-coding RNA, 453 nt
Organism: Dipodomys ordii (Ord's kangaroo rat)
Lineage: Eukaryota; Metazoa; Chordata; Mammalia; Rodentia; Heteromyidae
Exons: 2
Source: RefSeq, a predicted model, not a curated record
UGCAGUGGGUGGUGUAUGCUAUCCGAAACCUCACCGAAGACAACAGCCGCAACCAGGAUCUGAUUGCCAAGAUGGAGGACCAGGGCCUCGCUGACACAUCCCUACUGAAGAAAAUGGGGUUUGAAGUGGAAAAGCAGGGGGAAAAGCUGAUUCUGAAGUCUACUGGUGACGCACCCCCACCGUGAGUGGCCUCUCCAUCCAGGCACAUGACGUUUCAGAAUCUGGCUUGUGGAUGUUUCACGUUCUAGUACGCAAACUUGCUGUGUUUGAAGUAGAAGUACAGAUUCGGGACCCCGAGUGUCGUAGGUACAAGUCCCUGCGUUUCCCCUUCCUCUGCAAGGGUGUCCCCGCUUCCCCCGCCUGCGGUAGAUGUGUGUUUCUGUGGUAAUCAUUGUAUUCACUGUGCAGCAAAUAAUAAACGUCUCUGAGGGCACAGCCCCUGUUUGGCAAAGA